GACGAACCGUGCGAACGUUGUUCGGAAUCACUGGGCUUAAAGGGUGCGUAGGCGGGCCGGCGAGUCAGGGGUGAAAUCCCGCGGCCCAACCGCGGCAGGGCCCCUGAUACUGCCGGCCUGGAGGGGGGUAGGGGCGCGCGGAACUUCCGGUGGAGCGGUGAAAUGCGUAGAUAUCGGAAGGAACACCGGUGGCGAAAGCGGCGCGCUGGACCCCCACUGACGCUGAGGCACGAAAGCCAGGGGAGCAAACGGG
Molecule: ribosomal RNA, 253 nt
Filed under: uncultured bacterium
Lineage: Bacteria
Description: partial 16S ribosomal RNA
Rfam family: Bacterial small subunit ribosomal RNA
Source: RNAcentral